ACUUAGAAUGGCAAACAAGCUGACGGCCCACCUGAUGGAAAGUGGUAACCGUCGCCUAUAGACAUGAGCAGUACCAUGGACAUAACAGAGUAUAUUGUUUCGCCCAUGAUACCCCCCAUGCGUUGCCAUUCCUGAGGACACAGAUGUUAUUCCUCUGUACCCAGUAAAUUCACGCCAUAUCCCACCCUUCAAACCGAAACACAGCCAUGCAAACACAACUGCUUCACGGUAGAAGUGUUUCUACCGUGGGAAUGGGACAGAGGUACCCAAGCAAUCGACUUUUGUACAGUCUCCCUCUGGUAUGUAUGUUUUCAGAUUUUUUUUUUAAAACUAAUAAUGAAAAAGCAAAGUAACUUAUAUAAUAGUUAUAUAUUGACUUGGUCCACGCUUGUUUUAUUUCCAAAGUGUCUCUUAUAACAUUUUAUUGUAUAAUGUAUACAAAAGCAUACAAGUUAAAGUCCAAAUUGAAUUGACAAGUUGUUUGCUAUAUCAGAGCGGUGAGACCACGAGUAAUGAAGUUUACUUACUCCACAAACGCUUUAAAAGUACUGUUAGCUGAGUACCGUCUUCCAAUGCACAGAUAAUACAAAUAAGAGAAUUUUGACAAACAGAAGUCCUUACUCGAGUGGUUGCAACCCCUCUAUACAGUCUCUUUACAUAUCAAACUGAUUUUGUGUUAAAAAUAUUUCCAUUUUGGGUCAUUGUACAAUAUUUCUGUCAAUAUAAAAUUUCUGUAUUAAUAAUAGAAAUCCCACAACUAUUAUCUUUUAUUAUAAUUUGAAAAAAAAAUAUAUAUAUAUAUAUAUAUAUAAGAAUAUUUACCACAGACAAAAAAAGGCCCAAUCAUACUACGCUUUAAGAGAAACACAGUUCGCUUGAAUAAACUGUAUGAAACUUUCUUAAAUUGUGUCUAAGGACCCGAAUUGUACACGUCUCUUGCACACCUUGGAAAACUAGUAAAUGUAUAAUAGUCAUAAACAAGUAUUAAUUAACUAUACAUACGAGGGUAAAAUGAAAAGUUCUCGGCCUGACACAGAGAUGGCGUUCUAAUCGACAAAAAUUUAUUUUUCUUGCCUUGUCAUUAAUUUUUAAACUUAUUUUCUAAAAUAGUUUAUUAACACGAAUUUUUGCAGCAAACGUCGUGCAUGUUUUUCGUUAAAGUGGAUAAAUUUGAAUAUCGUGCGAUACAUAAAAUCUGUAUGAUGGAUGUAAGGGAUACGAUUUGCUCGGUCAUCUCCCCUAUUCUAAUUUUUUGUUUCUGGGAAGCGGUUUAUGUCCGACAAAGAAGUUGAGAGGGUCGUAAAUUAAUAUUGUCAUAACCUUCCAGACUCUCACUCCCGGAAAGGAAUACUGAUGUUAGAGAAACGCUGGUUCAAGUGUGUUUGAAGUCAAAGGAGAUUAUGUAAAAAAAUAAAAAUAUUUUUUUUUACUUAAAAUCGCAGUCUUUCACUGUCAGCCUGAAAACUUUUCACCUCACCCUCAUACUAUAUAAGAUUCGUAUGGUACUAAAAGUACUAAUAAUCACGUGAUCUUCUAAGUAUUAUAUUGCUCGAAUAAUGUCUAAUUUAUAAUCUGUAAUUGUAUUUUAUUAAAUUUUUAUGUUACAUCACUCCUUAGAAGUGCCUUCCUCUGUGUAUAAAUAUAUUUAGGGCCAUAUUACACGUGCGAUUAUUGAACCUGUUUACGAGCUAUCGCAGGCGUGUAGUUUGCCGAGAUAUGACAAAGAAUAUUAUUUUUAAAACUUAUGAUCAUUUUUAUAUGCCAUCUAUAUACAUAUAUAACGGGAUAUUCGUGAACUCAAAAGACACCAGAAGCGAAAACGAGAGUCCUUCACAGUCAUUUUCGACAACACCAUUAUCUUGUGUCAUCUUUAUCCCCCCCCCCCCCUCACCCCCCAUAUCUUCACGGGCUCUGCGAGCUGCGGCACACAGUGCGCGACGAGCAUCUGUGACGCAAAGCGCUAAACGCCCCUGAAGAAGACUUAAAGAUGCAGUCGAAACAUGGCCGUAGCUAAGAGGGAGUGGGGACAUAGAUGGGCAGUAAUCUACCUUGAAAGACCCAAUGCCCUACCUUAAACAUGGGUCUAGCUACGGUUCUGAAUCGAAACAAUUGUCGGAAACGGUAAACACGGUGAGUUCAUUAAUUUCCCGUUAUAUAUAUAGACAUGACGAGGAUUAUUAUAAAACUAAAUGCUAAUGGAUUGUCUUGCUCCGAACGUGUUCGCUAAUCGCUAGUGUAAUAUAGCUCUGAUCGUGCUGUUAAUCUAGAUUUAUGAUGUAUAGAAUGAGAGCGAUGUCUUCUAAAAAAUAAACGGAAUGUCAAAUUAAA
Galleria mellonella (greater wax moth) is the source of this 2328-nucleotide long non-coding RNA. RefSeq lists it as uncharacterized. NCBI's taxonomy places the organism in Eukaryota, Metazoa, Arthropoda, Insecta, Lepidoptera, Pyralidae. The record is from RefSeq and is a predicted model, not a curated record. The transcript has 2 exons.